UUUAAUAUGGCAGAAAAGUGCAAUAGAUUUAAAUCCUAUACAUAAAGUAAUAUCUUUUAUUAAUA
This 65-nucleotide transfer RNA is filed under the name Camponotus lasiselene. Its description in RNAcentral is "tRNA-Leu". The record is from RNAcentral. Lineage: Eukaryota; Metazoa; Arthropoda; Insecta; Hymenoptera; Formicidae.